UCCACCGCCUCGGCCUCGGCCAAGAAGAUAAUCGUCAAGCACGUGACGGUCAUCGGCGGCGGGCUGAUGGGCGCCGGCAUUGCCCAGGUUGCUGCAGCAACUGGUCACACAGUAGUGUUGGUAGACCAGACAGAGGACAUCCUGGCAAAAUCCAAAAAGGGAAUUGAGGAAAGCCUUAGGAAAGUGGCAAAGAAGAAGUUUGCAGAAAACCCUAAGGCUGGCGAUGAAUUUGUGGAGAAGACCCUGAGCAGCAUAACGACCAGCACGGAUGCAGCCUCCGUUGUCCACAGCGCAGACUUGGUGGUGGAAGCCAUCGUGGAGAAUCUGAAGGUGAAAAACGAGCUCUUCAAAAGGCUGGACAAGUUUGCUGCUGAACAUACAAUCUUUGCCAGCAACACUUCCUCCUUGCAGAUUACAAGCAUAGCCAAUGCCACCACCAGACAAGACCGAUUCGCUGGCCUCCAUUUCUUCAACCCAGUGCCCGUCAUGAAACUUGUGGAGGUCAUUAAAACACCAAUGACCAGCCAGAAGACAUUUGAAUCUUUGGUAGACUUUAGCAAAGCCCUAGGAAAGCAUCCUGUUUCUUGCAAGGACACUCCUGGGUUUAUUGUGAACCGCCUCCUGGUUCCAUACCUCAUGGAAGCAAUCAGGCUGUAUGAACGAGGUAUCCUUCUGACCCAGGCCAGGAGCAGCAGGCCUCAGCUCCUGGCGCCACUGUCUGGAAUUCUCAGUGUCUCUAGGAGGGGUCGGGCCGUGCACAACGGAGGAAGCAGUGUCUGUUUUCUAGCUCUGUGAGCUCAGCUGCACCCUGGGCCCUGGUACCUUUUUCACUGUUUUCCCGGGGCCUCCUGGCUUCCCUGUGAGGCCUCUGAGAAAGGUUUCUGGAACUCCUACCACCCCCACUACAGUCCCAGCCAGAGCAAUUGCAUGGCCGUCCCAGAUUGAUAUCCUGGAUCUCUGCUUUUGAUUAAAAGGUGAUGCAUCCAAAGAGGACAUUGACACUGCUAUGAAAUUAGGAGCCGGUUACCCCAUGGGCCCAUUUGAGCUUCUAGAUUAUGUCGGACUGGAUACUACGAAGUUCAUCGUGGAUGGGUGGCAUGAAAUGGAUGCAGAGAACCCAUUACAUCAGCCCAGCCCAUGCUUGAAUAAGCUGGUAGCAGAGAACAAGUUCGGCAAGAAGACUGGAGAAGGAUUUUACAAAUACAAGUGAUGUGCAGCUUCUCCGGCUCUGAGAAGAACCCCUGAGAGCGCUUUCCAGCCAGUGCCCCGAGUGCCUGUGGGAAUGCUCUUUGGUCAGACAUUCCCUCACACAGCACAGUCUAAUAAAUGUGCAUUUUGAUUGUAAUCUAUUAAAGUGAUUAUUACACCAGUUACAGCAGUAAUAGAUUCUCCAUUAAGAACUAAUUCCCUUUUUUAGUCUGUUCAUUUCUGUGUAUUUUCUAAACAGCUUUACACCCUUGGUGCCUUGGAGCAAACAUGUUUUUUGAACCUUGUCAUUUUUAUGAAGAAUUGCCUGGAUUCGUUCUCUCAUCAAGGGGAAAGUACUUCCUCCGAGAGUGCGAGCGCACCAUGCUCACUGUUGCUGCGUGGGAGAGUCACAAGCCACUGGCAAGCACGUGGUAUAGUCUGUGAAGCACUGCAGCGAGCAGCACCUGGAUCUUGCCUUUGUAAGAACAUUUUACUAUCUGCAGCUUUGAGUCUUGCCCUACAUUUUGGGCAUGACAUAAGAUGUGUCUUUAUUCAGCUCGUCAUGAAGAUGCUGCUGCUGAAUGGGUCGGCAUAUCUGUAUGUGCAUGGUUUGCAGGAGGUCAGUUUUCAUGGUCAUCCAGUUCCACAGAUCUGAAUGAUUACUGUCUGUCUGUGUCUUUUUUCCAUGAGAAAUCACUUGCAAAUUGCCUAUAAAUUGACUCUACUAAAAUAACAAUGUUUCAGUCUGAAAAUUUGAAUUGAAAAAAAUGUAUAAUAUAAAAU
This 1971-nucleotide small RNA is filed under the name Pongo abelii (Sumatran orangutan). RNAcentral's name for it is "retained intron". Lineage: Eukaryota; Metazoa; Chordata; Mammalia; Primates; Hominidae. The record is from RNAcentral.